This is a long non-coding RNA of Colius striatus (speckled mousebird), 2686 nucleotides long. RefSeq lists it as uncharacterized. The transcript has 6 exons. The record is from RefSeq and is a predicted model, not a curated record. NCBI's taxonomy places the organism in Eukaryota, Metazoa, Chordata, Aves, Coliiformes, Coliidae.
UCAUGGAUCUUAUUGUCACAUUCUGCAAGAUUGCUUGGAAUCUGGACCCCCUCCUCACUCAAGUAGCUAAACCAGUCAUCUCUCUGCUUCAGUUUUGUAGUCUGACUUACCUCCUACCACCCACUGCCCCCCAGCCCCUAUGUUAAGGAUAACUCUCGUGCCUUUGUUUCCAAACUCACAUGUUUGUCUUAGCUGCUUCUUUCUGCUUCUCUCAAACUCCUCUUAGGCACUGAUACCAGCUUUUGUUUGCUACCCCUUUAUGUGUAGUCCUCCAUGCAAACUGAACUUCCUUAGCCUUUAGACCACUUUAUUGGAUCCAGCCCUGUAAGAAGGUCACCUCUUCUACAAGCUUCAUGAACAUUGUCUUGGAGCAGAGACAGUUUUUUUCCUGACAGACAACUGGCAAAUGCUCGGGAUUAACAAAAGUAAUUUUUGCUUACCUUGGCCCAUGUCUACUUUUCUGUACCAUGAAAGUCUUCAGCUCCUGCUGCUCUGGUGGGCAAUGGCUCCCUUCAGUUUUCUUUAAAAAUUAUCUGCUGGCAAAGUUGUUUGUUUGCUCAAUUUCUUUAUACAGGGUGGGACGCGAUGUUGCCACUUCUACUUCAGCUUAUCUUGCUGACCUGCUGUGCAGAACGUGAGGGAUCUCUUAUCUCUCAGGCCACACUUAAACAGACCUACACAAAGAGGUGACUUUUCCUACAUACAGAUGAGGUUAAAUUUCACUUUGAAGAAAGUCUGUGACAAUUUUUCAAAGAGCUGUGCAUUAGGGACCCCAGAGUAGGAAAUCAAAGAAUCGGGAAUCAACCACUACAGAGGUCAAAACAUUCAGCAGAAGUGCUGAGAUUUCCUACUUGUGCAUCACCUUUCUUUCUGUCUGGAAUAUGGGUUUCUCAUAUGUUGGUUUUCUUUCAGUUGUCAGCUGUUUCAUCUGUUAGUUUAAAUGCCAUUCACAUCUGAUCCAGCACUUGUGUUUCAUAAAGGCAAACCUAAGAUACUGUCUGUGUUACUGAUGAUAUUAAAAUCGUGCAGACAUUUUCUGUAUAUUGCUGUUGUAAGUUAGAUUGGUUUGUCUGUUUUGCUGUACAUAACCAUCAGUUUCUGUGUCUUUAUGCAGGCACUCUGAACUUUUAGACAUGUUGAUAGGUGUUUCUAAGGUGUGCAUACAAAUACUUGUGUUUCUUGUAUUUUGGUGGUUAAAAGGUGGUUACACUAACACUUUGGAGCAGUAUUUCUUCCAUGGACUUGGCGUCACUGUAUUUAAGUUGUGCACAAAGGUUUUCCUCUCUUACUGAUUGCUUGGCUUCAGUGCAAUGCUGCAUGAUGAUCUACUGCGUCAGGAAGUGGGCAAACGAACAGUCCUUCAGAUACAAUGACAAGGUAGUUCUACCAUUUGGGUCUUCCAAAGGUGUUGCCCUAAGAUCCUCCAGCAAAGAAGACCAGAGACUUGGAGAAAGAGUAGGCACGAUGGGCUACACCUGCACUUCCCCCUGCUCUGAGCUUGGACCCACCUCCGACCCGGCUGGGCCAAUCUGGUGCCUCUGCUAUCACUAUUCAACAAGGGAAAUUAGUGGUACUUAAGGUGGGGAGGGGUCGUCGUAGCAAGCGGUGGAGUGGCAGCAGCAGCAGCGCCGAGAGUGCAGCCCUGCCCCUCGGAGGCGAGAGAAACGGCUGGAGUAAUCAGAAACUAGCUGACUGCACCUUCCCUCCCUUCGCAUCCCGUGCUGAGGAGGUAGACUGAACUUCAAAAUGGGAUCUUCUGAGCUUGAAAGGACAAUGAGUCCUGAGUGAUACAGGAUAAAGUUAAAUGACUCAGCAUGGACCACAUAGACGUGUAAUGUUUUGGAGAUGGACUGACUCACAUGUGAGGUGCCAGUUGGUACUAGGCUGCGUUGCAGCUAUAAAAAACAGCGAGAAGAACAAGAAAAUGUGAGGGUACAUCCAAAGAGGAAGGAGCACAGAUACACUCUCAAGAAUUGCAUAUUACUUUUUCCAGCCCAUUAACAGUUUCAUCAUUGGAUCUCCCCUAGCCGCCUGCCACGCUGCCCCACGACCCGCCGCCCUCCAUACAGGAACUUCCAUUUCCUUACAGUUAAACGGAUUCGUAUAAGUGAAGCUGCUAAAUGAGCAUUACCAAGUGAACAAAUGUUUAAAACUACCGACUUUCAUGGUGACCAUAUGCUCCACCUGUAGAAGAAUGACUGAAAAACAAAUAAAUCUAAUGACCCUUAGCUGCUUCUCCAAAUUAACUCUUCCCUAAUCUAAGAAGUCAUAAGUAGCGAUGGACCAGGAGACCUUUUUGCAGAGACAGCCACCAACAAGGGGUAGAGAAAGAUAACCAGGCGGUGAAGCCACUUGAAGAUAACAACAAAAGGAGUGCAUGUGCUGAAGCGAGCAGAAUCCAGGAGUUCAUCCAGUGGAUAACUGAGGAAGACUAUCAGACCCCUAGAGGAAGUAAACGACAGCCACAGCAACUGCAGACAUGAUAAAUAGAUGCAAUUUGGCAGUGAAAGACCGUGACAUAAUGAACUGUAAAGGUGUAAAAAUAAAUAGGCAUGUUUAUAGUAAAUAACCCCACUAAAAGUGUUGGAUGUUCACAUUUUGACAUAUAUAAAAAAGCAUACUUUAGUCUUUUGGCACACACGUUUGGUGGAAGGAUCCCCCCAGCAUCUGGCACCGCAUUAAAGAA